RNAcentral lists this ribosomal RNA (460 nucleotides) under uncultured bacterium. RNAcentral describes it as "partial 16S ribosomal RNA". It matches the Rfam family "Bacterial small subunit ribosomal RNA", at positions 338 to 795 of the family's 1533-position model. The record is from RNAcentral.
CCUACGGGGGGCAGCAGUGGGGAAUAUUGGUCAAUGGCCGUAAGGCUGAACCAGCCAAGUCGCGUGAAGGAGGAAGGUUCUCUGGUUUGUAAACUUCUUUUAUAGGGGAAUAAAGUUCUCCACGGGUGGAUAUUUUCAUGUACCCUAUGAAUAAGCAUCGGCUAACUCCGUGCCAGCAGCCGCGGUAAUACGGAGGAUGCGAGCGUUAUCCGGAUUUAUUGGGUUUAAAGGGUGCGUAGGUUGUUUUUUAAGUCAGCGGUGAAAGUUUGUGGCUCAACCAUAAAAUUGCCGUUGAAACUGGAAGACUGGAGUGGGUUUGAGGUAGGCGGAAUGCGUGGUGUAGCGGUGAAAUGCAUAGAUAUCACGCAGAACUCCGAUUGCGAAGGCAGCUUACUAAGCCAUAACUGACACUGAAGCACGAAAGCGUGGGGAUCAAACAGGAUUAGAUACCCCUGUAGUC